RNAcentral lists this long non-coding RNA (249 nucleotides) under Carica papaya (papaya). RNAcentral describes it as "long non-coding RNA (CPAP_LNC014841)". The record is from RNAcentral. Lineage: Eukaryota; Viridiplantae; Streptophyta; Magnoliopsida; Brassicales; Caricaceae.
UGGAUAAUUACGGCAAGUUCUAAGUCAUGGGUGGGGUAGUUCUUCUCAUGACUCUUCAAUUGCCUGGACCCAUAGGCUUAUGACCUUCCCAUGUUGCAUCAGACCACAACCCAACCCUAGGUAGGAGGCAUCACUAUAAACUGUAUAUCCACCCAACCCACUCGGCAAGGCCAACACAGGUGCAGUAGUCAACCAUUUCUUUAGUUUUGAAAAACUCCUUUCAUAGUCCUUGUUCCACUCAAACUUGAC